This 409-nucleotide non-coding RNA is filed under the name Pongo abelii (Sumatran orangutan). The record is from RNAcentral. Lineage: Eukaryota; Metazoa; Chordata; Mammalia; Primates; Hominidae.
GCAGUGGGGAGUGGUGAGCUCCAUUGUGUACACUUGUAAGCAGCCCAGAAAGCUUCUAGCACAGUGCUUUGUGCACAGUAAACACUCCAGCGGCUGUUGACCAAUGAAUGAAUGAAGAUUGUAGGCUCAAAUAUUCAAGUUAUCAAAGUGCAAAGAAUGAGAGGUUGUUUGCACUGGACUUCAAAAAUAAAUAGCCUGGACCUGUAACUGUCUUACACAACAGCUAUGAGCUACUGGUAUGUGGCUAGUCCAAACUGAAAUGGCCUUUAAGAGUAAAAUACACACUGGAUUUCAAAGACUUAGUACAAAGAAAAAAUGCAAAAUAGCUCAUUAGUAAUUUUUAUGUUAAUGACAUGUUGAAAUAACAUUUUGAUAUAUUGAGUUAAGUAAAAUAUAGUAUUAGAAUUAA